Long non-coding RNA from Thalassophryne amazonica, 113 nucleotides. RefSeq lists it as uncharacterized. The transcript is spliced from 3 exons. Lineage: Eukaryota; Metazoa; Chordata; Actinopteri; Batrachoidiformes; Batrachoididae. The record is from RefSeq and is a predicted model, not a curated record.
GAGGAGCACAGGGAUUGUCUGGUACCCACACAGGUGCUGACCACGCUGGGCUUCCUGGAAACAGGGGCUUUCCAGCGGGAGCUGGCUAAUCAGUCAGGAGUGUGCCAGUCAAC